Molecule: long non-coding RNA, 592 nt
Organism: Acromyrmex echinatior (Panamanian leafcutter ant)
Lineage: Eukaryota; Metazoa; Arthropoda; Insecta; Hymenoptera; Formicidae
Source: RefSeq, a predicted model, not a curated record
UAAACGACCAAAAAAGAAGUUUAGGUGGUAACGUAGGUUACCACCAUGCUUCAAAGGAUUAAGUCAAUUGACGAUCAACUCACAGAAAUGCCAAUAAUAAUUUAUGUAUUAGAAUCUCCUCUUUCUUUCUCCCCUUUUUUUCUUUUUUUUCAGAACAAACUGUUUAUUUCUCACUUAGCAAUCACAUUGGGAAUCGCGAUGACUAGUGAUUAACAACAUCCUCUUAAGAUAAAAUACAAUAAGAUCUAAUGGUUCACUUUCUGAGACGAAUAAACAGAAGCCGAGAGAUACUCAUCAUAAUAGAAAAGAGAAAUAUUGCAUACUUUGAACACAUCAUGCACAACACAAGACACCAACUACAGUUGAUUAUAAUUGAAGGAAGUAAUCGAAGAAAGAAAAGAAACAAGACGGAAAAACUUUGGAAUAUAAGAUACUGGACAGAGUCCAAACAUGUAGAAGAUCUCCAUAUGGCAAUGAAUGGAGAAGAAAUGGAAAAUGUAGCGCAAAUAUCCGUUAGUAGACAUGUAUGAGAAGAAGAAAAUAUUUCAUGUUUUUUUCUAGCUAUUUCGUGUAAAAUAUAUAUCGCACAUUA